Molecule: ribosomal RNA, 500 nt
Filed under: uncultured Eubacteriales bacterium
Lineage: Bacteria; Bacillati; Bacillota; Clostridia; Eubacteriales
Description: uncultured Clostridiales bacterium partial 16S ribosomal RNA
Source: RNAcentral
CACGUAGUUAGCCGGGGCUUCUUAGUCAGGUACCGUCAUUUUCUUCCCUGCUGAUAGAAGUUUACAUACCGAAAUACUUCUUCCUUCACGCGGCGUCGCCGCAUCAGGGUUCCCCCCAUUGUGCAAUAUUCCCCACUGCUGCCUCCCGUAGGAGUUUGGGCCGUGUCUCAGUCCCAAUGUGGCCGUUCACCCUCUCAGGUCGGCUACUGAUCGUUGCCUUGGUGAGCCCUUACCUCACCAACUAGCUAAUCAGACGCGGGUCCAUCUCAUACCACCAGAGUUUUUCACACUGUACCAUGCAGUACUGUGCGCUUAUGCGGUAUUAGCAGCCAUUUCUAACUGUUAUCCCCCUGUAUGAGGCAGGUUACCCACGCGUUACUCACCCGUCCGCCACUCAGUCAUAAAAAUCUUCCUACCGUAGUAUUCUGUCUCUUAUGCUUCGUUCGACUUGCAUGUGUUAAGCUACGCCGCCAGCGUUCAUCCUGAGCCAGGAUCAAACU